This is a long non-coding RNA of Pongo pygmaeus (Bornean orangutan), 3206 nucleotides long. RefSeq lists it as uncharacterized. NCBI's taxonomy places the organism in Eukaryota, Metazoa, Chordata, Mammalia, Primates, Hominidae. The transcript has 3 exons. The record is from RefSeq and is a predicted model, not a curated record.
ACCACGGCACUCCAGCCUGGGUGACAGAGCAAGACUCUUGUUUCAAAACAACAACAAAAACAAUAAAAAUCCUAGGCAUUCUCCAAGCAAUCUACCAUUGAGAAAGGAGCGCCAUUCUCAGCAUCUCUCUCCACGUGCGAUGUUCCAUACCCUCCCGCUCCCCACUUCAUACACAGAAACCUAAUCACCGAGGUGAUGGGAUUAGGACGUGGAGCCUUUGGGAGGUGAUUACGUUAUGAGGGCUGAGUGUCCUUCUAAAAGAGGCCCCAGAGAGCUUGUUCCUUCCACCCUGUGAGGACACAGUGAGAAGGUGCCUUCUAUGAGCCAGGAAACAGGCCCUCGCCAGACACCAAAUCCACCUGCCCCUCAGUCUUGGACUUUCCCAGCCUCCACAACUGUGGGAGGUGAAUUUCCAUUGUUUGUAAGCUGCCUGGUUUAUGAUAUUUUGAUAUGGCAGCCCAAACAGAGGUAGAUACCAUGUGUAGAGAGAAGCAGGCAGAGAAAUAGGAGAGUUGAAGGGUACCCCACCCUCCUUGAUUUCUAGUUGAGGAAAUGGAGGCUGUGAGUGCUGCAACUGAGCGGGGGUUCUGAGUGCUGGAACUGAGCGGGGGUUCUGAGUGCUGGAACUGAGCGUGGGGACUGAGGGCUGGAACUCAGUAGGGGGAGGCUGUGAGUGCUGGAACUGAGCGGGGGAAAUGAGGGCUAGAACUCAGUAGGGGGAGGCUGUGAGUGCUGGAACUGAGCGUGGGGACUGAGGGCUGGAACUCAAUAGGGGGAGGCUGUGAGUGCUGCAACUGAGCGGGGGUUCUGAGUGCUGGAACUGAGCGGGGGAAAUGAGGGCUGGAACUCAGUAGGGGGAGGCUGUGAGUGCUGGAACUGAGCAGGGGAAAUGAGGGCUAGAACUCAGUAGGGGGAGGCUGUGAGUGCUGGAACUGAGCGUGGGGACUGAGGGCUGGAACUCAAUAGGGGGAGGCUGUGAGUGCUGGAACUGAGCGGGGGGAUACUGUGAGUGCUGGAACUGUCUCUGGGGAGUCCUGUCUGGAGCCUUGAAAAAGGCAAACAGCCCUUGAAACGGCAGGGUGGGGAGAGUUGACCAAAAGGUUAAAAAGCAAUUUAACAGAAAUCCAACUCUUUAGGAUUCUUGCUUCUUCCACCGUGUUGCCUCCAGAAGAACAGAAAAUAAAAUCUCCAUUUUGCAGUUAUCAUCUGACCAGCAGUUACCACGGAGGGCCAGGUGUGGUCAAGGGCUCUAGAACAUUUGUCUACACAGUUUCCCUCUUUGAUCUCUGUGAUUUAUAGAUAGGCACUUAAAGGUGGGAUUAAUGUGUAAAGAGCCGUCAGAGUGAAGGAUCUAAGUCCCUGGAAAUGAAGGAUUGGAUGAAAGUGUUUCUUAAGGACAGUUUUAAUAAUCGUGGUACACAUACUGUAGCAUUAGUACUUCCAUUGUAAAAACUUGGUAUUUGACUUACCUGCCAAAGUCUACUGCUUACCUGCACAUAGGUGCAUCAGCUUUGCAGAUUCUUUUUAAAUGUGUCAGCCCACGUUUUUAAAAACUGGUUUAGAAAAUUCUCACUGGGCUUCCCGCCUCUAUCACUGAUCUAAUCAUGAUUCAUCUUAUGGCUGGGAAAGCAUCACUAGCCUGGAGAAACUGAACGGUGGUGUCGAGUCUUGUUUUCAGUUUUUAUUAGUAUUUCCUGUUUCAUACAGCCCACCUUUCUGGGCAAUCAGCCUAACACACCAUAGCCUUAUUUUCUGAAACACUUUUAUUUAUGCACACACACAUGUAUACACGUAGUUAGAGCUGGGUGAAAUCCUGGCAGUAACCAGACCUGCUUUUUCAUUUUAUCCAUCAGAUCUCUUGGUGUCUUCUCUUAUUACUCAGGGUACUCAUGUGAACAUUUAUUGUUUUGUUUUGUUUUUUGAGGCGGAGUCUCGCUCUGUCGCCAAGCUGCAGGGCAGUGGCAGGAUCUCCGCUCACUGCAAACUCUGUCUCUCGGGUUCAAGCAAUUCUCUUGCCUCAGCCUGCCAAGUAGCUGGGAUUACAGGUGCAUGCCACCACGCCCAGCUAAUUUUUGUAUUUUUAAUAGAAACAGGAUUUCACCAUGUUGGUCAGGAUGGUCUCGAUCUCUCGAUCUCGUGAUCUGCCCGCCUUGGUCUCCCAAAGUGCUGGGAUUACAGGCAUGAGCCACCCCGGCUGGCCUUAUGUGAACAUGUCUAAACACAUACACACAUAUUGCAUAGUCUGUGUGUGUGUGUGUGCAUAGGUGCAUCUGCAGAAAUAAGUCUACAACUCCAGGCAAUAGCUGGAGAAUCUCCAGGAUGGGCUUAUGUCACAGUAGGGUGUGAUGUGGGGUGUGCCUGCUAUGUGUGUUGGGUGGGGUUGGAGUGGGAUGGGUUGAGCUGGUAACACUGAGAAUCUUUGGCCCUGAGCUCCAUAAACUGAACCCGUGGGGGAGGUGCGUAGCUGGGUGCAAACUCCGUAAUUCCCAUUUGACUUUGGCCCAGUUAGUUAACUGCUCUGAGCCUCAGUUUGCACAUCUGUAGGGUGGGGAUAAAUAGUACCUGCUUCCUAUGACUGGAGAAAAGAGUGGUGUGAUAGGGGUAAAAUGUUCAGCAUCGUGCCAGACACCUGGUAGCCACCUGGUACAUGCGAGUACCAUCGGGGCACCGUGUAAGCCUGAAAAUUGAUCCGGUGACAGAGCCGCCUAAGUGUUUUGUCUUCUUUUUUUUUUUUAAAUACCAGAGAGCUGUUAAGAAUCAUCAGAUUUCCACAUAAAAGACUUGAUGUUUGUUCUCAGCUCAAAAAUAGGUACAAACGUCAGUGUGAAUUGAGAUUUCCAGGAAAAGUAGACAAAAGAAAAAAAAAAAACUGAACAACAUUUUCCCUUUGGAUUUGAUGUGAAUGUUGUUGACCAGAACUGGAGGUGAAGAGGAGAGAAUUAACUGCCUUCCCUCCAGAGGGACCAGGCAUUGAAAUGUGCAUUCCAGAUUCCCCUGGCGCAGUGAGCUUUGGAGUUAGAGGAUGAGCUGAUGAUCUCUUUCUUUCCAUAGAGGAUGUCUACAUGCAGCCAGAGCUGCCCACAUGGCAACACCCUUCCUAGGCGUUAAGGACUCAGUGAAGAACAACACCAGCUUGGUGUCCACCCUUGGGUUGCUGUUGCUGCCUAGUGGGAAAGACUUGGGGCCAGGCAGUUACCAUGCUCGGC